This 338-nucleotide long non-coding RNA is filed under the name Homo sapiens (human). RNAcentral describes it as "non-protein coding lnc-U2AF1-1:2". The record is from RNAcentral. Lineage: Eukaryota; Metazoa; Chordata; Mammalia; Primates; Hominidae.
UGUCAUGCUGCUGACAUAUUCCAUGUGUUUGAUAUCUUCCCAGCAAAAUAAUCAGCUCUCAUUUUCCCUUACAGAGUCAACUGUUCAUUUUAUUUCAAAAUUGGAGCAUGUCGUCAUGGAGACAGGUGCUCUCGGUUGCACAAUAAACCGACGUUUAGCCAGACCAUCUUGAUUCAAAACAUCUAUCGUAAUCCCCAAAACAGUGCACAGACGGCUGACGGCUCACACUACCAUUGCCCUCUUGAACAUUUACCGUAACCCUCAAAACUCUUCCCAGUCUGCUGACGGUUUGCGCUGUGCCGUGAGCGAUGUGGAGAUGCAGGAACACUAUGAUGAGU